This 266-nucleotide signal recognition particle RNA is filed under the name Clostridia bacterium. RNAcentral describes it as "signal recognition particle sRNA large type". It matches the Rfam family "Bacterial large signal recognition particle RNA". From Rfam's summary of the family: The signal recognition particle (SRP) is a universally conserved ribonucleoprotein involved in the co-translational targeting of proteins to membranes. Archaeal SRP consists of a 7S RNA and homologues of the eukaryotic SRP19 and SRP54 proteins. The record is from RNAcentral. Lineage: Bacteria; Bacillati; Bacillota; Clostridia.
UCGGGCUAAACGGAGAGUUAGCGGUGCUCUGUACCCACAAUCCGCUAUAUGUGGGGUUGAAUGCUCGGCGCGGUUUAGUUUUGUCAAAAAUGUGCGUGUGCUUUGCGUGAUGAAAUCAAGGUCUUAUGCAAUCAAAACCCUUGAACCAUGUCAGGCCCUGACGGGAGCAUCAUUAAAAGGACCUUUUGGUGUGCCAUAAGGUGGCUUUGGUGGAGCGUAAUACACACGAGGCAGUUGGUAAAACUCUAUCAACCCGAGAUGCCCGA